ACGCCCUUGGUGAAGCAGUCGUGUCUGCUGCUCUGGCUUUUGUGCCGGCUGGGAGAGACUAGGUCUGGAGUUCCUACGGCUCCUUGAGUUUUCUUCCAGGCUCUUGGCUCACACCUUGCCUACCCCGGGUUCAGUGAAUGGUGAGAUACAGCAAGGCCGGAGGAAGGUCCACCAGUGCUCUGCUGGCCUCUCUACAAAGUACUAAAGCUUGCUUUGCAGAUUGCAAUCAAAGAAUCUCAAAAACAAAGAAUGCCACCAUCAGUACACAGGAAAAAUGGGGAGAAGAAAGAUGCCAUUGCAAAGACCAACAGGGUGUGAGAUACAUAUCUUUUUUUCUUGUCGAAUCAGAAAGGAAAGCUAUCAAAGAACAACUUGCCUUGCUUUCAAGAGUCGUGUGUGAAACCUACAUUAGCGGUGUCUACCUUAUAACCUGACUUCAGGGUCCUCAUCUUUUAACCUUUCACACAACUGCUGCAAGCACAUGGCUAGGGAAACAUAAGGGGGCACAAUAAUCAUAGUGCUGUAAUGUCUUUCUUUUCUUUAAGCCGCACAAUUAAUUUACACAUUCCUUUUUUCAGAGGCAGAAAUGAAGUCUGAUUUGGGAAUUUAAAGAUAACCUCAGCAUUUUUUUUUUUUUUUUUUUUUACAAUAUUGGUCAGUUACAUGGGUAGUGGUGGAAAAGGAAGUCAAGUCAUUUAAGGAAGUAAAAGAUACUUGCUACAGAGAAAGAAAUUUUAAUGGACGUAGGAAGAAUCCUUUGCAAGAAGUGCAGGCAAAUGCAAAAUGGCAUUAUUAA
Molecule: long non-coding RNA, 796 nt
Organism: Bos taurus (domestic cattle)
Lineage: Eukaryota; Metazoa; Chordata; Mammalia; Artiodactyla; Bovidae
Source: Ensembl